RNAcentral lists this ribosomal RNA (253 nucleotides) under uncultured bacterium. Its description in RNAcentral is "partial 16S ribosomal RNA". It matches the Rfam family "Bacterial small subunit ribosomal RNA", at positions 524 to 776 of the family's 1533-position model. The record is from RNAcentral.
UACGUAGGGUGCAGGCGUAAAUCGGAAUUACUGGGCGUAAAGCGUGCGCAGGCGGUUUGCUAAGACAGGUGUGAAAUCCCCGGGCUUAACCUGGGAACUGCGCUUGUUACUGGCAAGCUGGAGUGUGGCAGAGGGGGGUGGAAUUCCACGUGUAGCAGUGAAAUGCGUAGAGAUGUGGAGGAACACCGAUGGCGAAGGCAGCCCCCUGGGCUAACACUGACGCUCAUGCACGAAAGCGUGGGGAGCAAACAGG